This 136-nucleotide non-coding RNA is filed under the name Thermoflavimicrobium dichotomicum. Lineage: Bacteria; Bacillati; Bacillota; Bacilli; Caryophanales; Thermoactinomycetaceae. The record is from RNAcentral.
UUGCAGGUGCAAGUCCGAUCGAGGUAAGAGCCAGGUCGCCUGGAGCUACAGGCAGUUGGUGGAGAAAUCCUGGGGUCGAAGCCCUGUUACAAAGUAAACCAUUAGGCUACGAGCAAACAGGGAUUUUUCAUUUUUA